CCUACAGUUGGCUGUCGCCCGACCGGCAGUUGCCUCGUGAUCCGUGAUCUGUAGAUCGAAUCACAGCCAACUGCUGCUCGGGAGAAUGCCGUUCGACCCAGAA
This 103-nucleotide microRNA precursor is filed under the name Haemonchus contortus (barber pole worm). RNAcentral's name for it is "microRNA hco-mir-250 precursor". Its record names the gene hco-mir-250. Lineage: Eukaryota; Metazoa; Nematoda; Chromadorea; Rhabditida; Trichostrongylidae. The record is from miRBase by way of RNAcentral.